Molecule: long non-coding RNA, 425 nt
Organism: Homo sapiens (human)
Lineage: Eukaryota; Metazoa; Chordata; Mammalia; Primates; Hominidae
Gene: RAB5C-AS1
Product: RAB5C antisense RNA 1
Source: Ensembl
UCCGAUUCUGGAAGCAGGGGGAGCGGAACUUAGGGUACCUCUCUCCCACAACUAGAAUGGACAGGCCAGAGGACAGUCAUAGCGGUUUCCUUAAGGCUCACCAAAGGCAGCCGCUCCGGAUCCGGAUCUCCACCUCCGCCCCGCCCCUCAAUACUCCCAGGUGAUUGACAGUGCGGAGACCAAUGGGAGGCACUCUUGGCCGACCUACCCAGCGGCGCCGGGGCGUCUGUGAUUGGGAAGGUGAGGAAAGCGCUGCAGGAAGAGUUCUCUGCAGGAUGCUGGGUGAGAUCAAAGGGAGAGCUUCUGCCACCACCUCCUACUUGGUGUGUGCGGGGGCCGGCACAAAGACCAUCUCUGCCUCUGCCUUCCCCUGCUCCUAGCCAGGGUCAGCUCUUCUCUCUGACGCGGAAUACAGAGCUGGACAA